CACGAGAAAUUCUUCAGACUCUCUGAAAUGGAGGCCUGUUUAGAAAACAGAAAAAGAAGAGGAACGAAAAGAUGGUCAUGAUGGUGAGGUAGAAGAUACUGAUUUUUCUGAAGAUACUGAUUCUGAUGAAGAUGAAGGGGGACUGUUGGGAAGUAAAAAACUUAAGUCAGGUAAAAGUUCCAGAAAUCUGAAAUAGAAAGAUUUUUUUGAUCUACUUGAAAGUGAUGAAGACAUAGCAAGUGUUCACGAUGACAAGCUGGGUUCAAACAAGAUGAUGAAAUUGCUGAAGAAGCAGCAGAAGAACUAAGGGUUUCUGAAAUGGAUGAAGAUGAUGACCUUGAAAAAAGUGAAGACAGUAAACAAUGUAAAGAAAGCUUGAAAAGAGUAACCCUUGUUUUGCCGGAUGAUGAGGAAACUGAAGAUACAGGUGUUUUGUUUGUUUGUUUGUAUGUUUGUUUGUUUGUUUUGAGAUGCAGUUUCACUCUUGCUGCCCAGGCCAAAGGUGUGAUCUCAGCUCACCACAACCUCCGAAUCCUGGCUUCAAGUGAUUCUCCUGCCUCAGCCUCCUGAGUAGCUGGAAUUACAAGCACACAUCACCACGCCUGGCUAAUUUUGUAAUUUUAGUACAGACGGUUUUCUACAUGCUGGUCAAGGUGGUCUGGAGCUUUGAACCUCAGGUGAUCCACCCACCUUGGCCUCCCAAAGUACUGGAACCACAGUAAGCCACCAUGCCUGGCUAAUACAGGUGUUUUAUAUGUGAAGAAAAAUUCUGAAGUUAAAUCCUCUUUGAUAAAAGACAGAUAAUGGUAGUUAGGAAUUGAAGGCAUUUUUAAUAUGUUUGACAUGAUUGUGGAACUCACAGACUAAUCUUCCCUAUUUUCUUUUUUUUUUUUUUUUUUU
This 900-nucleotide long non-coding RNA is filed under the name Saimiri boliviensis boliviensis (Bolivian squirrel monkey). RNAcentral's name for it is "lncRNA (ENSSBOG00000036701.1)". The record is from RNAcentral. Lineage: Eukaryota; Metazoa; Chordata; Mammalia; Primates; Cebidae.